GUUUCCCCUGACCUGGGUGUGGUCAAAUUGUGGAAUAAUUACUAGGGAUUUAGUCUGUGCUGGGCUCUGAACCACUUCUGGCUUCACGAUUCUGGCUUUGGAGGUUGCUACUCUCCUUACUUUUAGUAAGGAAAUCAAGGGGCAAAGUCCUCAUCUGGAAAACUCAGCAAUGCUGCUAUUUUAGAAUGGCACCAGGCCUCCGGCUUCUUGAUUCAGCCACAGUUGCCACCUCUUCUUCAUGGAAAAGGAAAACACUGCCUGAUGGAGAACAAAGGCUUCUGUCCACAUCUUCUGAGUUUCCAAAAUGCCAGAUCUACUGGGCAGCAGCUACAAGCCAUUCCUCAGGGGUCACUGCCCCUGGGUGGACAAGCUCAGGGAGGUGUUUGCUACUUCUCCUGUGGUACUUAGCCCUACAUUCUCCAGGAGGCUGUAGACACUGUGCCUUGGCAAUGGAAUUGGAGGAUCUUGAAAGCAGUUUUUGAGACACAUUCAGAGCAUGAGGAAUGGAAUGCGUUUGUCUGGUAAGAAGGAAGAAGGCACAUGAAGACAUUUUCAGAAAGAAUGAAGGAUGCAGACGGGAAAGCCAUCACGAUGAGGCCGGCCCAGAUCUGCACAAUAGGUGCCCUGUGUGCUGUUGGGGGACUUUUAUGUGUUUGGGAUGUUUGCAACCUCUGGCCCAGCUACGACCCUGGAUGGGGGUCUGCUAAGAAAAAUAAUCUGGCUUGGAACGGCAUUCUUCCAGCCCCACUGGAUGGGAAAACGCCCCUAGGAGCCAAGUCUCUCUGCCCUUGGCAAAGCCCUGGCCCCUGAAGCCACUUAUGAGCUCUUCGCUUUGAAAGGCCUGCACUAUUCCUAUCUGAGUCAUCUGAAAACAAAUAAAAAGAGACCUAAACAAACAAACCUAAUUGUGCGCAGAAACACAGCCAGAUUUCCAGCCUGGCUCCCCUCUGUUUUCAUUAGUCGGGAGCCAAUGCAUACAGCUCGCGUGGCAUCCAGAACAAGCUGAAAUAUGAAAAACAAAUUGCCAAGCUCACUCUUUCUUCCCUCUGCCUCACAGGGCACCAAGGGAGCCAAGUCCUGGUCUCCUUUGCCUUGACGAACAGCUAUCCAUAUAGCAGACUGCCCGUGGCCCACCUGGGGACAGUGGCAUCUGUGACCAUCAGUAAUUGAUGGGCACACAGAAAGUUCUGCAGACAGGCUUGGGGUCUUAGGAGAUUAUUCUUUGUGCAAUCGACCAGAAAGAUUUCUCCUUCGUUUUCCUUUCGGAUAAGAUCACCUCGUUUUUCUUUGAAGAGUCGACCCUCUCUACAGCUUCAGCCCCUUUAGUUUGCUGUGUCUGUCACAUCUUCCUUGUUUCUAGUGUGGGUGAUAGGACCUCGACAACCAGACUUGCCAAGAUAGUGUCUCCCUAAGAUGCUAAAUCCAAAUUAGGCUGUAGAGAGGCAAGCCUGAGUCUUCAGCCAUGCUAUCCUGAAUGCGUCAGAUCUCAUCUGAUCUCAGAAGCUGAGCAGGGCCGGGCUUGGUUAGUACUCUCAUAGGAGAGACAAGCUCGAGCCGUUUGAGACGAUUGGGAAAGCAGCACACAUUCUUAGAGGGUCAAGUCGCUGGCACAGUGCAAGCCUGGAGCUGGAGGAGGUCAUGCUGACACCACAUGGGGAAAGCCUGCUUAGCUUGAGGAAGAGCAGAGCUGGGUGAGAGGAAAUCCAGAGUUCAGCCAGCACCCUCUGAGCGCCUGGAUCCAGCAGUGGCUGACCAUGGCUCCAUCCUGGACUUUGCCAUUAUACAAAGCUCUCGUCUUUCUUCAGCUACUUUAUUUGAGCUUUGGAAUCUAGAAUUCCGUCUUAUACACACCCCUGCACAGACUUCAAAAGGUCAUUCGUACUUACAUUUUUGUGCCUUAUUUGGGGAGAGGCGCUUCCCCCCCUCCCCCAACUUCUGGGGGAUGAUUUUUUUCAAAAGGGGUUUUUUUUUUUUUCCCACCUAAGUGAAUUUGAAGAUCAGUUCUGUUUUCAUUUCAGUUGUAUGGAAU
Mus musculus (house mouse) is the source of this 2029-nucleotide long non-coding RNA. RefSeq annotates it as predicted gene 42745. Lineage: Eukaryota; Metazoa; Chordata; Mammalia; Rodentia; Muridae. The record is from RefSeq and is a predicted model, not a curated record. The transcript is spliced from 3 exons.